Long non-coding RNA from Anas platyrhynchos (mallard), 1169 nucleotides. RefSeq lists it as uncharacterized. Lineage: Eukaryota; Metazoa; Chordata; Aves; Anseriformes; Anatidae. The record is from RefSeq and is a predicted model, not a curated record.
GUUAGCUCUUUUGAAGACAUCUUCUUGGGUGCACCAGUGCAGCAGAGGAAAAGGGAAGCAAAAAGCAGCUAGGCUCCAGCUGUACAGGGGGGGGGCAAACGAGAUAGGUUCUUGGGUCCCAGGUGCUGCCCAUGGCUGGGACCCGCAGCUGGGUUUCUGCAGCACACAGGAUCCAUCCCAGCCACUGCCUCAUGCAGCAGCUGCGUAACUACCUUGAUAUUUUGGCAUUAUAUAUAUAUAUUUAUUUAUUUAUUUAUUUAUUUUUCCUGAAGCAAAUCUUCCACUUCUGUUGUUAUCUGCUUCUUACAUGUUAUGCUAUUAGGAUUUGCAUUUACAGGAGACCUACAAACAGACAUAUCAGCAUGGAUGAUUCAAGGGAGGGUUGAAACAGUAGAGAAAUUCCCUGUCGGUGUAGCUUCAGCCCUGCUGAGCACACGGGGCAGCACAGCCAGAGCAGGCGGGGCUGGUGCUGACCAGCACCAUGAGUAGAAAUCCCAGAAUGGGCUCACAACGUUACUGCCCCAAGGUACUGCUGGCUGUGGGCUGCAGGAUCAUCCCACAGAACUUUAUGGGUAGCAUCACUGUGAAGGUCUGCAGGAGACACAGACAAUCAUCCAUCUGUAGCAGACUGAGGUAACCUCCUGACAACCCCACCAGGAAGGAUGCUCCUUCAGCUGCUGCUUGGCCAGCUGCGACAUUGCCAAACCGCUCCACACAGAUGACUCAGGACAAAUGACAAAAGCAAACUUUUGAAUUCUAUAAUACUUCCAUUGAGCUGAUCAAAAUCUCCUGCAUAAUGUGAAGAUAAACUCAGAACUUCAUAGAGAGAUUUGUCCGGCUAAGAGACAUCCUACCAACUGGGAGAUGUAUUUGGGAGAGAAAAUGUUGCAUGAAACCUACCACACCUGUGGCAAGUGAUGUCAUAUGUGAUAUGCAUGAGGACCAUCCUUUCUGUCCUGCUUUAUGUGGUCUUGUUAGACAAGUAUGUAGAUAUGUUUAGCUGAAAAGGGUUCUGAAGUGUCCAGUGAAAGCUGCUUAUGGUCCUGAAGCCUCUACUCCUGCUUAGCCCCUGUCCGUGGGCACUAACUGCUCCUCUGCCCACUCCAGCACUGUCUUUCUCGACCAUGAGGACUGAUAAAACAGUGACACAGUACUUGGAUGUAGAUUUA